ACGGGAGGCAGCAGUGGGGAAUAUUGGACAAUGGGGGCAACCCUGAUCCAGCCAUGCCGCGUGUGUGAAGAAGGCCUUUUGGUUGUAAAGCACUUUAAGCGAGGAGGAGGCUCUUCUAGUUAAUACCUAGGAUGAGUGGACGUUACUCGCAGAAUAAGCACCGGCUAACUCUGUGCCAGCAGCCGCGGUAAUACAGAGGGUGCGAGCGUUAAUCGGAUUUACUGGGCGUAAAGCGUACGUAGGCGGCUUUUUAAGUCGGAUGUGAAAUCCCUGAGCUUAACUUAGGAAUUGCAUUCGAUACUGGGAAGCUAGAGUAUGGGAGAGGAUGGUAGAAUUCCAGGUGUAGCGGUGAAAUGCGUAGAGAUCUGGAGGAAUACCGAUGGCGAAGGCAGCCAUCUGGCCUAAUACUGACGCUGAGGUACGAAAGCAUGGGGAGCAAACAGGAUUAGAUACCCUGGUA
RNAcentral lists this ribosomal RNA (460 nucleotides) under uncultured Acinetobacter sp. RNAcentral's name for it is "partial 16S ribosomal RNA". It matches the Rfam family "Bacterial small subunit ribosomal RNA", at positions 341 to 792 of the family's 1533-position model. The record is from RNAcentral. Lineage: Bacteria; Pseudomonadati; Pseudomonadota; Gammaproteobacteria; Moraxellales; Moraxellaceae.